GCUGUAUAUGAUGUGGGCUGCCAUCCUCAACAGCAGGGUAAUAAGUGCUGGGAAAGAUCUCACCAUGGCAGAGCGAACCCCCUGAAGUUUGGCACAGCCCAUCUCCCCCAGAUUUCCUGCCAGCGCAGCCGCGUCUGUCCUUGUUGCAGUGCUGGCUGCGUGUCUGAGCGUGCUGGGGCAGGGGGAUUUCAUUGGUGCAGCCCCUCUCUGCUUGCAGCCAUGUCUUGUCCUUUGUCCCUUGAGGCUGCAGCAGGACUUGUCCUGACGGAGCUGCCGCAGCGGUGCUGCUCCUUGCAGGUGGUCAGUUCACUGGGUCUGGACUCCCUGUCUCCGUUUCACCCGCGGGAGCGCAUCCUUGAGUAGGGGCCCCCAUCCCAUCCUACUUCGUAUCACGGGGCCCAUCCCUGCCUGGAUGGGGGGAUCCUGCUGCCUGCAUCUUUCACUUGGCUUGUUUUGGGAGCAGUGGCUGCUUCCGGCCACUUGUGGAACAGCAGGUCACCUGAGCAGGCAGUGGGAGCAGGUUUGGUGGCCAAAUUGGAACGUUAAAUUCCCUUCCCCAUCCCCAUGCCAACUUUCCCUGCCUCUGGCUCACCCGCUGGCCUCUAAGGAGAGAUGCUGUGCGGCAGCAGCCAGCGGGAGAGGUGAGCUGGGCUGGUGGGCACUGUCAGACUGGGGGAGCACAGGCACCCAGCACUGAGCCAGGGCUGUCCCCCCUCCCAGGCGCAUGGCUGCCAUGCAGCAGGGACUGAAGACGGCCGUGAGGGUGCCCUGUGCCCUGGCAGAGAAGGUGAGUGGGCUCUGGCCUGCUCUGAAGGAACUGACACAACACUGCAACCUGGCCUGCAAAUCCGACAUCCAGCUCCUUGUAGGAGAGUUGACCUCCACCAGCCCUUGCUUGAGUUUCCUGUUGUGUGUGGCAAUGCUUCCCACUGUUUGAGCUACAUCCUGAGAAUCCCACCAGAUUGGAAAGUGUUCUGUGCCGCUGGCUGUUGGAGGGUGGGUGUGGGGUUCAUGUAGGGGUCGCCUGACUCACUCCAUCAGCUGAUGUCAGGAGCUGUAACCACCACCCUCCAUCGUCUGUUUUUAUUAGCCCUGUGGGACCUUUGUGCUGGCUGGGAGUGGUGUGUUGACUUUUCUUGGGUGCCAUGGUUACAGUCCUGGUGCAGGGUGGUGCCAGUUUGACUGCUCAGCAGUGUCACCUCUGCCCGCCACACCCCUCCUCACCGGGGGGGGAUCUGGUAUUUAACAGGUGCCCGACAGCCCAGUUAGAGCCGUGCCAAGGACGGUGAUCAAGAGUGCUGCCAGCAUCGCCUCCUCUGGGACCUUUUGGGCAGGUUUGCUCACAGACCACUGAAGAUGUGUGACCCCAACCAAGGCAUGCCAGGACCACACCAUCCAGUUUGCCCUCCUGGUCCUCCAGGAUACCCUGGUCCUGGCACGGGUCCCUACCCUGGUGGCAUUGCAGUUUGCCCUCCUGCUCCUCCAGGAUACCCUGGUCCCGGCACAGCUCCCUGCCCUGGUGGCCCUGCAGUCUGCCCCUCGUUCCCCCCUCCACCUGGCCAUGGGCAGCACCCCCAUGGGCACCACCCCCAAGGGCACCACCCCCAUGGGCACCCCUCAUGUGGCCAUAAUCCCCAUGGACACCCCCCUCCAGGACCACCAGGAGUGCAGGUGUGUCCCCCUGACUGCCAUCAGAAGCACCAUAAGAAGCACCAUAAGAAGCACCAUAAGAAGAAGCACUCCAAGCACCACGGAGGCAAGCACUCCAGCGGCUCAAGCAGCAGCUCAAGCAGCAGCUCUGACUCUGACUGAACAUUUGGCAUUUCCCACCUGCACAGUACUGAUCAGCAAAACAUGAAGCCAAACACCUUGUGGGAGUGCCGUGCCCUGCCCUGCGUGCUUCUCUGUUCCCCUUCCCCUUCCCUUACAGCAGUGUUUUGCCUGCUGAGUGAUUUUCUUGUGUUUACAUUGUAAAUGAUUUGUCCUGGAAUCUCUUAAGUCAUUGGACAGCAUCUCCAUGGUCUGUCUUUUGGGAGAGCCUGCUGAAAGUCAUCAUGUGCUUGUCUGCAA
Pseudopipra pipra is the source of this 2070-nucleotide long non-coding RNA. RefSeq lists it as uncharacterized. The record is from RefSeq and is a predicted model, not a curated record. Lineage: Eukaryota; Metazoa; Chordata; Aves; Passeriformes; Pipridae. The transcript is spliced from 5 exons.